UACAGAGGGGGCUAGCGUUGCUCGGAAUCACUGGGCGUAAAGCGCACGUAGGCGGACUCUUAAGUCAGGGGUGAAAUCCUGGAGCUCAACUCCAGAACUGCCUUUGAUACUGGGAGUCUUGAGUUCGGGAGAGGUGAGUGGAACUGCGAGUGUAGAGGUGAAAUUCGUAGAUAUUCGCAAGAACACCAGUGGCGAAGGCGGCUCACUGGCCCGAUACUGACGCUGAGGUGCGAAAGCGUGGGGAGCAAACAGG
Molecule: ribosomal RNA, 253 nt
Filed under: uncultured bacterium
Lineage: Bacteria
Description: partial 16S ribosomal RNA
Rfam family: Bacterial small subunit ribosomal RNA
Source: RNAcentral